UACGUAGGCAGCAAGCGUUGUUCGGAAUUACUGGGCGUAAAGAGUGUGUAGGCGGUGCUCUAAGUUCGGUGUGAAAUCUCCUGGCUCAACUGGGAGGGUGCGCCGGAAACUGGGGUGCUGGAGCGCGGGAGAGGAAAGCGGAAUUCCUGGUGUAGCGGUGAAAUGCGUAGAUAUCAGGAGGAACACCGGUGGUGUAGACGGCUUACUGGACCAUAACUGACGCUGAGACACGAAAGCGUGGGUAGCAAACAGG
RNAcentral lists this ribosomal RNA (253 nucleotides) under uncultured bacterium. RNAcentral describes it as "partial 16S ribosomal RNA". It matches the Rfam family "Bacterial small subunit ribosomal RNA", at positions 524 to 776 of the family's 1533-position model. The record is from RNAcentral.